Molecule: ribosomal RNA, 207 nt
Filed under: uncultured bacterium
Lineage: Bacteria
Description: partial 16S ribosomal RNA
Rfam family: Bacterial small subunit ribosomal RNA
Source: RNAcentral
CUCGUAGGCGGUUUGUCGCGUCUGCCGUGAAAGUCCGGGGCUCAACUCCGGAUCUGCGGUGGGUACGGGCAGACUAGAGUGAUGUAGGGGAGACUGGAAUUCCUGGUGUAGCGGUGAAAUGCGCAGAUAUCAGGAGGAACACCGAUGGCGAAGGCAGGUCUCUGGGCAUUAACUGACGCUGAGUAGCGAAAGCAUGGGGAGCGAACA